This 253-nucleotide ribosomal RNA is filed under the name uncultured bacterium. RNAcentral's name for it is "partial 16S ribosomal RNA". It matches the Rfam family "Bacterial small subunit ribosomal RNA", at positions 524 to 776 of the family's 1533-position model. The record is from RNAcentral.
UACGUAGGGCGCAAGCGUUGUCCGGAAUUAUUGGGCGUAAAGAGCUCGUAGGCGGCCUGUUACGUCUGCUGUGAAAUCCCGGGGCUUAACCCCGGGCGUGCAGUGGAUACGGGCAGGCUGGAGGCAGGCAGGGGAGAACGGAAUUCCCGGUGUAGCGGUGAAAUGCGCAGAUAUCGGGAGGAACACCGGUGGCGAAGGCGGGUCUCUGGGCAGUAACUGACGCUGAGGAACGAAAGCGUGGGUAGCGAACAGG